ACGUGUAAACAUGUCAAAGAACAUGGGUCAUGUUUUUGAUGAUAGAUAUGCACACGAUUCCUGAACACGUCAGUUUUGGAAUGCUGCAAUCGGGUCGUGGAUAUAAAAGCAAGAAACACGUGAAUUGUGUUAUAGUUGGGGCACGCAACAUUUAAAAUAUUGGACAGUUUUUGGAAUAACUCUGCAUAGGAAGCAAUAUGACUGUGGGGAAGAUAGCUCUCACCGGAGCCGUUCUAUUGGUCAUGGUGCUGUUACUACUGUGGACACCACAGGCUGACGGAAAUUACAUCGGACACUGCUGGGAUAAUCAAAGCAAAUGCAACACACGAAGGAGCAACUGGCGAAUCAACAACGACUGGCGCUGGCUCACAUGUAACCAAAGCUGUCGAUGUUCCGGCUCCUACUCUGGAAGUUGCAGUAGGUCAUCAGGUCGCUGUCCGUCCAACAAGAUAUACCGAUGCAGGUGUUCAGGAAGGAGACGAAAUGGACCUAGACCCACGAAUUGUUGAUUUAAAAAGUGGAAUGUUGUCAUCUCAUCUGUAAUUGUCACUAAGAAUAAAAAAAACUCUUCUCA
This is a long non-coding RNA of Ostrea edulis (European flat oyster), 574 nucleotides long. RefSeq lists it as uncharacterized. The record is from RefSeq and is a predicted model, not a curated record. Lineage: Eukaryota; Metazoa; Mollusca; Bivalvia; Ostreida; Ostreidae. The transcript is spliced from 2 exons.